UACGGGGGGGGCAAGCGUUGUUCGGAAUUACUGGGCGUAAAGCGUGCGUAGGCGGUUCGUUAAGUCCGUUGUGAAAGCCCUGGGCUCAACCUGGGAAUGGCAGUGGAUACUGGCGAGCUAGAGUGUGAUAGAGGAUGGUGGAAUUCCCGGUGUAGCGGUGAAAUGCGUAGAGAUCGGGAGGAACACCAGUGGCGAAGGCGGCCAUCUGGAUCAACACUGACGCUGAGGCACGAAAGCGUGGGGAGCAAACAGG
RNAcentral lists this ribosomal RNA (253 nucleotides) under uncultured bacterium. RNAcentral describes it as "partial 16S ribosomal RNA". It matches the Rfam family "Bacterial small subunit ribosomal RNA", at positions 524 to 776 of the family's 1533-position model. The record is from RNAcentral.